UACGUAGGUGGCGAGCGUUGUCCGGAUUUACUGGGCGUAAAGGGAGCGUAGGCGGACUUUUAAGUGAGAUGUGAAAUACCCGGGCUCAACUUGGGUGCUGCAUUUCAAACUGGAAGUCUAGAGUGCAGGAGAGGAGAAUGGAAUUCCUAGUGUAGCGGUGAAAUGCGUAGAGAUUAGGAAGAACACCAGUUGCGAAGGCGGCUCUCUGGACUGUAACUGACACUGAGGCACGAAAGCGUGGGGAGCAAACAGGAUUAGAUACCCCUGUAGU
RNAcentral lists this ribosomal RNA (271 nucleotides) under uncultured prokaryote. Its description in RNAcentral is "partial 16S ribosomal RNA". It matches the Rfam family "Bacterial small subunit ribosomal RNA", at positions 524 to 794 of the family's 1533-position model. The record is from RNAcentral.